AGAGAAUAAAGAGAGUUCUAGAAGAGUCGGAGACGACUAAGCCAUCAGUAGCCUCAACCUAAAAGCUGGGAAAAGAAGGUUCCAGGCAAAGGAAAUGUCAGGAAGAAUCUACCAGGUAACCGUUCGUGAUCAGCUGAAUCCACCACGAAGAUCAGCAGCCAUCCAUUGGGUGUUCCGAAAGCCAUGCCAACGGUAACUACAGCGCCCACGGAAAAGAACCGGGAGCUCCCAAACACAUCACGGGUCCAUCGUCCAGGAACCCUGUCUCUUCCGACGGAGAAUACACUCAUUCACUCCAGCUUUCAGCAUUGUCUAUGCGGUCCGCACGCACGCUGGCAUGCAGCGCUCGCGGGACAGAGCCGGUCCCUGCGUUCAACUAGGACCAAUAAGAUCCCUGCUCUCUCGACGACGCUAGACAACAAGGGCUGAGAGCUAUGCAUCGGUGAACUAAGGCAAAGCUCACUCCACGAGAACGAAGAACGAGCACUACAUGGUGCCGCCCUUCUUCUCUCCUGCAAACUGCCGCUCUCCCACCACCGCUCUCAGAGCUUGCCAGCAGCUGCACUUCAGCAGCCACAGGCAAGCCUGUGAGUUGCAAUUUCUAGCAGAAAAACCUCUGCUCCAAACCCGAGGAAGCAGAGCUCUUGGUGCUCCACGGAGAGUCGUGCCACAGAGGAUACGCCUUUGCUUUCUCAGGAUCCACAAGCGAGUAAGCAGAAAUAAGCUGCGCUAGUGUGUGAAUAUCUUUUGAAUUUUGCCUAAAAGAAGAAAUGAAGUUAGUAAACAGCUUCUAAAAUUAACGCUAGCAUAAACAGAGAAGAGCCCCCUCAGAUGAACCAAGUGUGGGUCCCCACCACUGUUCAGAGCUUACUUCCACAGCUGCUCUAGGUCACUAACUGCCUCCUUCUUUCGUCCAUAUUUGAGCUUGAAGUUUGCAGCUUCUCUUAUCAAGGACAAAUGAGCAGGGGAUUUGGGCUACAGGUUCAACAAAACAAAAUAAAGCCUUAAGCCAAGUA
Peromyscus maniculatus bairdii (prairie deer mouse) is the source of this 1016-nucleotide long non-coding RNA. RefSeq lists it as uncharacterized. Lineage: Eukaryota; Metazoa; Chordata; Mammalia; Rodentia; Cricetidae. The record is from RefSeq and is a predicted model, not a curated record.